CUGUGGUCUCAUCUUUAGUCUGAAGAAGAUGGACAAACUGUCUGUUCUACUGACAUUGCUCUGUCUGCCCUGUUUGAGUGGCCAGGCCCUGGAGUCCAUUCCCUCGACCCCGGUUCUGAAAACACCCCAAGAAGCCCUGAGUCUCUCUUGCAAGGGAACUGGAUUUGAUUUCAGUCAAAAAGGAAUGCACUGGAUCAGACAACCUGCAGGAAAGGCACUGGAGUGGCUUGGGCUUAUUUACAAUGAUGCAAGCAAAACAUAUUACACUAGCAGUCUUCAAGGACGUAUAGAAAUAACCAGAGAUAACAGCAACAGCGUGGUGCAUCUCAAACUGUCCAACCUAAAGCUGGAGGACUCGGCUGUGUAUUACUGCGCCAGAGACACACACUGGUUAGAGUGA
Limanda limanda (common dab) is the source of this 400-nucleotide non-coding RNA. Lineage: Eukaryota; Metazoa; Chordata; Actinopteri; Pleuronectiformes; Pleuronectidae. The record is from the annotation of a RefSeq genome assembly.